Arabidopsis thaliana (thale cress) is the source of this 470-nucleotide long non-coding RNA. RefSeq annotates it as other RNA. The record is from RefSeq. NCBI's taxonomy places the organism in Eukaryota, Viridiplantae, Streptophyta, Magnoliopsida, Brassicales, Brassicaceae. The transcript has a single exon.
AAAAAGAGGUAAUAAAGAGGCACAUUGUCACAUUUAAAGGGAAAAACUUGUUAACAGUUGAACCAAUAAAUUGGGAAGAAAGAAGAGAAAAAGAGACAAUUAUUUGUUGGCACCAUGAAAGAGAGACCUGCGUGGCCCAAAGUGGGUCCGACAUAGACUGGGUCGAAGAGGAGACAAGUGGAGGGUCCGACCAUACCCUAACCACGUGCAUCACCGGCCCAGAGGGCUGGUCUCGUGGUCCACUUCUGCACCUUAAUCCCUAUCCUAACAGUUCCCAUCUGCCACUAGAUAAACAUUGCCAUUGCAAAACAAAACAAAGAAACUAACAAAAAUAACUUAACAUACCAUGACUUUAAUUGAUUGCUUUUACGUUGUCUAGCUGAUACGUUUGCAGUUUACUUCAUAAUAAACAUCAGUACAAAAAUAAGGCUAACUUUAUUUUUUUUCUUAGCUUCAAGCCUUCAACGCAA